UUUACGGAGAGUUUGAUCCUGGCUCAGGAUGAACGCUAGCGGUGUGCCUAAUGCAUGCAAGUCGAACGGGAACCUUGGAUACGUCUGAGGUGAGAGUGGCGAACGGGUGAGUAACACGUAGGUGACCUACCCUGGAGAGGGGGACAACCACUGGAAACGGUGGCUAAUACCCCGGAUGUUAUACAAAUUAGAAAGGUAUAACUAAAAGCUGAGGCGCUCUAGGAGGGACCUGCGGCCCAUCAGCUAGUUGGUAAGGUAACGGCUUACCAAGGCAGAGACGGGUAGGGGGCGUGAGAGCGCGAACCCCCACACUGGUACUGAGACACGGACCAGAUACCUGCGGGUAGCAGCAGCAAGGAAUAUUG
This 365-nucleotide ribosomal RNA is filed under the name Anaerolineales bacterium. RNAcentral's name for it is "bacterial SSU rRNA". It matches the Rfam family "Bacterial small subunit ribosomal RNA", at positions 1 to 366 of the family's 1533-position model. Lineage: Bacteria; Bacillati; Chloroflexota; Anaerolineae; Anaerolineales. The record is from RNAcentral.